Molecule: ribosomal RNA, 547 nt
Filed under: uncultured bacterium
Lineage: Bacteria
Description: bacterial SSU rRNA
Rfam family: Bacterial small subunit ribosomal RNA
Source: RNAcentral
UGAGGAAUAUUGCGCAAUGGGGGAAACCCUGACGCAGCAACGCCGCGUGGGUGAAGAAGGCCUUCGGGUCGUAAAGCCCUUUCGGACGGGACGAAAGUUCCGCGGGGAUAAUCCGCGGAGCCUGACGGUACCGUAGGAAGAAGCACCGGCUAACUCCGUGCCAGCAGCCGCGGUAAUACGGAGGGUGCAAGCGUUGUUCGGAAUUACUGGGCGUAAAGCGCGUGUAGGCGGCCUUGUAAGUCAGAUGUGAAAGCCCUCGGCUCAACCGGGGAAGUGCAUCUGAAACGGCAAGGCUUGAGUACGGGAGAGGGAGGCGGAAUUCCCAGUGUAGAGGUGAAAUUCGUAGAUAUUGGGAGGAACACCGGUGGCGAAAGCGGCCUCCUGGACCGAUACUGACGCUGAGACGCGAAAGCGUGGGGAGCAAACAGGAUUAGAUACCCUGGUAGUCCACGCCGUAAACGAUGUGCGCUAGACGUUGGGGGUUAUGCCUUCAGUGUCGCAGUUAACGCAUUAAGCGCACCGCCUGGGGAGUACGGCCGCAAGGUUA